GCCUGGGUGGCUCAGUUGGUCGAGCAUCUGACUUUGGCUCAGGUCAUGAUCUCACAGUCUGUGGGUUCAAGCCCCGCGUCGGGCU
This 85-nucleotide transfer RNA is filed under the name Felis catus (domestic cat). It matches the Rfam family "tRNA". From Rfam's summary of the family: Transfer RNA (tRNA) molecules are approximately 80 nucleotides in length. Their secondary structure includes four short double-helical elements and three loops (D, anti-codon, and T loops). Lineage: Eukaryota; Metazoa; Chordata; Mammalia; Carnivora; Felidae. The record is from Rfam by way of RNAcentral.